This 494-nucleotide ribosomal RNA is filed under the name uncultured bacterium. RNAcentral's name for it is "bacterial SSU rRNA". It matches the Rfam family "Bacterial small subunit ribosomal RNA", at positions 29 to 517 of the family's 1533-position model. The record is from RNAcentral.
AAUGAACGCUGGCGGCGUGCCUAACACAUGCAAGUCGGAUGUGCCGCAAGGUGCAUGGCAGACGGGUGAGUAACGCGUGGGGAACCUACCUCUUCGUGGGGAAUAACGAUCCGAAAGGAUUGGUAAUACCGCAUGAGACCGACGGCUGGGAUGCUGUCGGUGAAAGCUGGGGACCGGAAACGGCCUGGCGCGAGGAGAGGGUCCUGCGUCUGAUUAGCUAGUUGGUGGGUAACGGCCUACCAAGGCAUCGAUCAGUAGCCGGCCUGAGAGGGUGAUCGGCCACACUGGAACUGAGACACGGUCCAGACUCCUACGGGAGGCAGCAGUGGGGAAUUUUGCGCAAUGGACGAAAGUCUGACGCAGCAACGCCGCGUGGGUGAUGAAGGUCUUCGGGUGUAAAGCUCUUUCGGCCGGGAAAAAAUCGCCUCUCCUAAUACGGGGGUGGAUGAUGGUACCGGACUAAGAAGCACCGGCUAACUACGUGCCAGCAGCCG